This 454-nucleotide ribosomal RNA is filed under the name uncultured bacterium. RNAcentral describes it as "partial 16S ribosomal RNA". It matches the Rfam family "Bacterial small subunit ribosomal RNA", at positions 28 to 507 of the family's 1533-position model. The record is from RNAcentral.
GAUGAACGCUGGCAGAAUGCUUAACACAUGCAAGUCAACUUGAACUUCGGUUUGGGUGGCGGACGGGUGAGUAACGCGUACAGAACUUGCCUCACAGAUAGGGACAACAUUUGGAAACGAAUGCUAAUACCUGAUAUUAUGAUUAUAUGGCAUCGUAUAAUUAUGAAAGCUAUCUGCGCUGUGAGAGAGCUUUGCGUCCCAUUAGCUAGUUGGAGAGGUAACGGCUCACCAAGGCGAUGAUGGGUAGCCGGCCUGAGAGGGUGAUCGGCCACAAGGGGACUGAGAAACGGCCAGUACGCCUACGGGAGGCAGCAGUGGGGAAUAUGGGACAAUGGACCAAGAGUCUGAUCCAGCAAUUCGGUGUGCACGAUGAAGUUUUUCGGAAUGUAAAGUGCUUUCAGUUGGGAAGAAAAAAAUGACGGUACCAACAGAAGAAGUGACGGCUAAAUACGUG